Molecule: ribosomal RNA, 348 nt
Filed under: Rhizobium sp. EP_R_23
Lineage: Bacteria; Pseudomonadati; Pseudomonadota; Alphaproteobacteria; Hyphomicrobiales; Rhizobiaceae
Description: bacterial SSU rRNA
Rfam family: Bacterial small subunit ribosomal RNA
Source: RNAcentral
GCUUACCAUGCAAGUCGAACGCCCCGCAAGGGGAGUGGCAGACGGGUGAGUAACGCGUGGGAACAUACCCUUUCCUGCGGAAUAGCUCCGGGAAACUGGAAUUAAUACCGCAUACGCCCUACGGGGGAAAGAUUUAUCGGGGAAGGAUUGGCCCGCGUUGGAUUAGCUAGUUGGUGGGGUAAAGGCCUACCAAGGCGACGAUCCAUAGCUGGUCUGAGAGGAUGAUCAGCCACAUUGGGACUGAGACACGGCCCAAACUCCUACGGGAGGCAGCAGUGGGGAAUAUUGCACAAUGGGCGCAAGCCUGAUCCAGCCAUGCCGCGUGAGUGAUGAAGGCCUUAGGGUUGU